CCCCUCUCAGGGUCGCACCUGGAGAGUUUCCUGGAAUCUACCAGUCUCAACUACGGGAGGGAGAGUCAAGCAGAGGCCUACCCAUUCCAUUCUUUGCUUGGCCAGUGGCUAGCGAGUGGAAGGCCAUCUGCUACAAAU
This 138-nucleotide small nucleolar RNA is filed under the name Ornithorhynchus anatinus (platypus). Lineage: Eukaryota; Metazoa; Chordata; Mammalia; Monotremata; Ornithorhynchidae. The record is from RNAcentral.